Molecule: ribosomal RNA, 494 nt
Filed under: uncultured bacterium
Lineage: Bacteria
Description: partial 16S ribosomal RNA
Rfam family: Bacterial small subunit ribosomal RNA
Source: RNAcentral
GACGAACGCUGGCGGCGUGCUUAACACAUGCAAGUCGAACGGUGACGCGCCUUCCUUUUUGGUGGGUGUGGAUGAGUGGCGAACGGGUGAGUAACACGUGAGUAACCUGCCCCCUUCUUCUGGAUAACCGCAUGAAAGUGUGGCUAAUACGGGAUAUUCUGGGUCUGUCGCAUGAUGGGUCUGUGAAAGCUCUCGUUUCGGUGGGGGAUGGGCUCGCGGCCUAUCAGCUUGUUGGUGGGGUGCUGGCCUACCAAGGCGGUGACGGGUAGCCGGCCUGAGAGGGUGGGCGGCCACGGUGGGGCGGAGACGCGGAGAAGACUCCGAGGGGAGGCAGCAGGGGGGAUUAGGGCACAGGGGGAGGAAGCCUGAUGCAGCGACGCCGCGGGGGGGAUGGAGGCCUUGGGGUUGUGAACCUCUUUCGGGAGUGAAGCGGGCCUGCCUAGUGUGGGGGUGGGUUGACGGUAGCUGAAGAAGAAGCGCCGGCUAACUACGUG